Molecule: ribosomal RNA, 2896 nt
Filed under: Lactococcus garvieae
Lineage: Bacteria; Bacillati; Bacillota; Bacilli; Lactobacillales; Streptococcaceae
Description: 23S ribosomal RNA
Rfam family: Bacterial large subunit ribosomal RNA
Source: RNAcentral
AAGUUAAUAAGGGCGCACGGUGGAUGCCUUGGCAUUAAGAGCCGAAGAAGGACGUGACUAACGACGAUAUUCUAGGGGGAGCAGUAAGUACGCAUUGAUCCCUAGGUCUCCGAAUGGGGAAACCCACUAUGUUAUGCAUAGUAUCCGUAAGUGAAUACAUAGCUUACGCGAAGGUAACGCAGAGAACUGAAACAUCUAAGUACCUGCAGGAAGAGAAAGUAAAAACGAUUUCCUAAGUAGCGGCGAGCGAACGGGAAACAGGCCAAACCAAGAAGCUUGCUUCUUGGGGUUGUAGGACUGCAACGUGGACUUAAAGUCUAUAGAAGAAUUACCUGGGAAGGUAAGCCAAAGAGAGUAAUAGCCUCGUAUUUGAAAUAGACUUUAUACCUAGCAGUAUCCUGAGUAGGGCUGGACACGCGAAAUCCAGUUUGAAUCCGGGAGGACCAUCUCCCAAGCCUAAAUACUCCUUAAUGACCGAUAGUGAACCAGUACCGUGAGGGAAAGGUGAAAAGAACCCCGGGAGGGGAGUGAAAUAGCACCUGAAACCGUGUGCCUACAAGAAGUUCGAGCCCGUCAAUGGGUGAGAGCGUGCCUUUUGUAGAAUGAACCGGCGAGUUACGUUAUGAUGCGAGGUUAAGCUGAAGAGGCGGAGCCGUAGCGAAAGCGAGUCUGAAUAGGGCGCUUUAGUAUCAUGAUGUAGACCCGAAACCUAGUGACCUAUCCAUGAGCAGGUUGAAGGUGCGGUAAGACGCACUGGAGGACCGAACCAGGACACGUUGAAAAGUGUUUGGAUGACUUGUGGAUAGCGGAGAAAUUCCAAACGAACUGGGAGAUAGCUGGUUCUCUCCGAAAUAGCUUUAGGGCUAGCGUCGCAAUUUAAGUGUAUUGGAGGUAGAGCACUGUUUGGAUGAGGGGCCCAUCUCGGGUUACCAAUUUCAGAUAAACUCCGAAUGCUAAUACACAUGUGCGGCAGUCAGACUGCGAGUGCUAAGAUCCGUAGUCGAAAGGGAAACAGCCCAGACCACCAGCUAAGGUCCCAAAAUAUAUGUUAAGUGGAAAAGGAUGUGGGGUUGCACAGACAACUAGGAUGUUAGCUCAGAAGCAGCUAUCAUUCAAAGAGUGCGUAAUAGCUCACUAGUCGAGUGACCCUGCGCCGAAAAUGUACCGGGGCUAAACAUAUUACCGAAGCUGUGGAUUUAAUAUUAAUUAAAUGGUAGGAGAGCGUUGUAAUCAGCGAUGAAGGUAUACCGUGAGGGGUGCUGGAGCGAUUACAAGUGAGAAUGCCGGUAUGAGUAGCGCAAGAUAAGUGAGAAUCUUAUCCACCGUAAGACUAAGGUUUCCAGGGGAAGGCUCGUCCGCCCUGGGUUAGUCGGGACCUAAGGCGAGGCCGAAAGGCGUAGUCGAUGGACAACAGGUUGAUAUUCCUGUACUAGUAUUGUUAGUGAUGGAGGGACGCAGUAGGCUAAAGGGAGCCAGUUAAUGGAUUCUGGUCUAAGCAGUGAGGUGUGGAAUGUGUCAAAUGCAUUUUCCUUUAACAUUGAGCUGUGAUGGGGAAGCAACUACGGUUGCGAAGCCCUUGAUGUCACACUGCCAAGAAAAUCUUCUAGCGUUUAAUUCAAUACUACCCGUACCGCAAACCGACACAGGUAGUCGAGGCGAGUAGCCUCAGGUGAUCGAGAGAACUCUCGUUAAGGAACUCGGCAAAAUGACCCCGUAACUUCGGGAGAAGGGGUGCUGUAGAAAUACAGCCGCAGUGAAAAGAUCCAAGCAACUGUUUAUCAAAAACACAGCUCUCUGCUAAACCGCAAGGUGAUGUAUAGGGGGUGACGCCUGCCCGGUGCUGGAAGGUUAAGAGGAGGGGUUAGACAUUAGUCGAAGCUCUGAAUUGAAGCCCCAGUAAACGGCGGCCGUAACUAUAACGGUCCUAAGGUAGCGAAAUUCCUUGUCGGGUAAGUUCCGACCCGCACGAAAGGCGUAAUGAUUUGGAUACUGUCUCAACGAGAGACUCGGUGAAAUUUUAGUACCUGUGAAGAUGCAGGUUACCCGCGACAGGACGGAAAGACCCCAUGGAGCUUUACUGCAGAUUGAUAUUGAGUACCUGUGAAGCAUGUACAGGAUAGGUAGGAGACUUUGACCUUGGGACGCUAGUUUCAAGUGAGUCGCUGUUGGGAUACUACCCUUGCUUCAUGGUUGCUCUAACCCACACGCAUAAUCGGCGUGGGAGACAGUGUCUGUCGGGCAGUUUGACUGGGGCGGUCGCCUCCUAAAGAGUAACGGAGGCGCCCAAAGGUUCCCUCAACAUGGUUGGAAAUCAUGUGUAGAGUGUAAAGGUAUAAGGGAGCUUGACUGCGAGAGCUACAACUCGAGCAGGUAGGAAACUAGGGCUUAGUGAUCCGGUGGUACCGCAUGGAAGGGCCAUCGCUCAACGGAUAAAAGCUACCCUGGGGAUAACAGGCUUAUCUCCCCCAAGAGUUCACAUCGACGGGGAGGUUUGGCACCUCGAUGUCGGCUCGUCGCAUCCUGGGGCUGUAGUCGGUCCCAAGGGUUGGGCUGUUCGCCCAUUAAAGCGGCACGCGAGCUGGGUUCAGAACGUCGUGAGACAGUUCGGUCCCUAUCCGUCGCGGGCGUAGGAAAUUUGAGAGGAUCUGCCCUUAGUACGAGAGGACCGGGGUGGACUUACCGCUGGUGUACCAGUUGUUCCGCCAGGAGCACCGCUGGGUAGCUAUGUAGGGAAGGGAUAAGCGCUGAAAGCAUCUAAGUGCGAAGCCCACCUCAAGAUGAGAUUUCCCAUUCUUUAUGAAUUAAGAGCCCUGAGAGAUGAUCAGGUUGAUAGGCUGGAAGUGGAAGUCCUGCGAGGGAUGGAGCGGACCAGUACUAAUAGCUCGAGGACUUUACC